Long non-coding RNA from Taeniopygia guttata (zebra finch), 1024 nucleotides. RefSeq lists it as uncharacterized. The record is from RefSeq and is a predicted model, not a curated record. NCBI's taxonomy places the organism in Eukaryota, Metazoa, Chordata, Aves, Passeriformes, Estrildidae.
ACACCGGACAGGGCCAGCUAUUUACAGCAAAGCAAGGGAAGGAUGGGACACCUGCAUCCUCCCUUUGGUCCUUGAAGGCCAUGUGAUGUUCCUGUAGCAGGAGAUUUACCUGUUUAAGCUCAAAAACAUCUGUGUUAUUUUCAGCAAAAUCCUGACUGCAUCUCAAUAAAAAUACCAUCUAGUUCAACUAAGGUAAUUUUCAAAAUACAGUCCCAACACAGGAUUUACUCUUCGAUUGGUUUAGUAGAAGAUAAGAUGCUGUUGCUCAUUGUUGUUUUGUUUUUCUUUAAAAAUCCAUUAACUUCUCUGCAGAUCUUUAAAUAUUUAUAAGAUUUAAAUAAUCUUUUAAAGCAUCCUCAGAGAAGACAUUGACUCUUUUAGUUAAAUAGUUCUUAUUUUUCUGGUAGGGGAAUCAUUUAAGUACUUAGCCAACUAAUUCCCCAAUUUAAUCACAAUAUUUUUAUACUCAGAUGUCUAUUUUGUGUAAGCAAAGAGAAAUACAAGAGAAAAAGUUGUUAUAUUUAUGGGUACACUGACUAAUUCCACAAAGGGGAUAUUAUGCAGAGAUUUUGGAGCUGCCUGUAAAUUGAAGAUGCUUUUAAAUAAACACCUCAGGAGCUCAUACCCCUCUAAAUAUUUAUAUUGCAAGGAAAGUUUUGCCACAAAAUAUUUCUCAUCUUCUCCUUUCUCCCUUAGAGCUGUCUGAAGUGUUCUGGCUGUUUGCAAUAGGGAUGCUGGAGAUUACACAAAAUCACCCAUGGAAGGAGCCAUGAAGUUUUUGGUGAAAGCCAGAAUUAGAGCCAAUUCCAGAGAUGGAGCAAUAUUCCCCCCUUUGUUCACAGCUCACGUGCUGCAAGCAUGGUCUACAAAAGCAAAGGUUGGUCUCUCCAAUGCCAGCAGAUGAAAGGACAUUCAGCUCCUGCUCUGAGCAGCAUUUUCAUUUCCUCUGGGUCUUGGGGAGCUCCUGCGAUGACCAGCGCCCUGUGCAGCCAUGCCUCCUCAUCUUUUGGCACCCCAGACACCC